GAGUUUGAUCAUGGCUCAGGAUGAACGCUGGCGGCGUGCCUAAUACAUGCAAGUCGAGCGAACAGAUAAGGAGCUUGCUCCUUUGACGUUAGCGGCGGACGGGUGAGUAACACGUGGAUAACCUACCUAUAAGACUGGGAUAACUUCGGGAAACCGGAGCUAAUACCGGAUAACAUAUUGAACCGCAUGGUUCAAUAGUGAAAGGCGGCUUUGCUGUCACUUAUAGAUGGAUCCGCGCCGUAUUAGCUAGUUGGUAAGGUAACGGCUUACCAAGGCAACGAUACGUAGCCGACCUGAGAGGGUGAUCGGCCACACUGGAACUGAGACACGGUCCAGACUCCUACGGGAGGCAGCAGUAGGGAAUCUUCCGCAAUGGGCGAAAGCCUGACGGAGCAACGCCGCGUGAGCGAGGACGGCCUUCGGGUUGUAAAGCUCUGUUCUUCGGGAAGAAUGGCGGGAGAGUGAACAGCUCUCUCGUUUGACGGUACCGAAGGAGAAAGCCCCGGCUAACUAC
RNAcentral lists this ribosomal RNA (514 nucleotides) under uncultured bacterium. Its description in RNAcentral is "bacterial SSU rRNA". It matches the Rfam family "Bacterial small subunit ribosomal RNA", at positions 9 to 504 of the family's 1533-position model. The record is from RNAcentral.